UCCACAACAAGGAGGGUGCAAACCAGAGAAAGGGGAGCCACGGCGGCUGCUGCUGCUGCUAGGAAUGAUUAUGUUUUCUUCUUCUCCCAUAGCUGGCGCACUGUCCAUUCUCCAUCAUCUGUAUAGCAACCAAUGACAAUUUCAGGAAUGCGUGCAAUUCUUGUGUAAUCUUCACUUUCUUCCUUCUGAUUCUCUACCUUUUCUAUCAUUUCAGAACUCAUCUCAUACAAAGACAGCUCUUGAAGAUGGCUCAAGUGCUGAAUACCCAAAGGUAACUCAUCUAGUAAUGGAAGUUGUUCCAGAAUGAGUUCAUGGAGACGUGGUAAUGCACCCUCCUCCACUCUCAUCCAUCUCAACCCUUCCAUUCUCUUUAAGUGCAUCCACUUCAGAUUUAGGAACCCUCCAGCCUUGAAACACAACCCUUCUCCCUGGUAAGAUCCGCAGAAAUUAAUUCUACCC
This 459-nucleotide long non-coding RNA is filed under the name Coffea arabica (coffee). RNAcentral describes it as "long non-coding RNA (CARA_LNC005519)". The record is from RNAcentral. Lineage: Eukaryota; Viridiplantae; Streptophyta; Magnoliopsida; Gentianales; Rubiaceae.